AGGAGACCUGACCGGAGUCUCUCACGGCCUUCGGGGUGGCCCGUCGCUGGCACACAGCCCGAGCCUGCUCACAGCUGCCAGCCAGCUGGCCAGAGUGGCUGCUGGGGCUGCUCAUCACUGAACCAACCCAGCAGAUAGCUGUGCUGAGAAAGGAAUGAUAGGCCUCUGAGACAAAACCUAAGCCUACCAAACACAGGACUGUAUCAUCAGUGCCGCCAUUCGGAGCCAGAGGGCAGCUCUGACACACUUUUGUGGGGCGUCGUGCUGUGGUGAGUGUGGCCGAGGACUGGGGACAAGCCCUGCACCUGGCAGAACUACAGGACCCACCGCGCUGGGUCAGAGUGAGGAUUACCCCAGGAAGAGCUGCACGCUGGGCGGAGCAGGCCUUGCACAGGCAGGGCUGUCUGGCUCAGCACCUGUGUCCAGGUCCUAAGGAAGCUUAUAGACACUGUGGGCCAGCUAUAAGGACUUGCUUUCUAACCACAAAACAACAAGACGUCAGAUUAUUUUAAUAACUCAUGACUGAGUGGGAAGACUGUAAAGAACUAUCUUUAGAGCCAGGUGUGGUAGCACAAGCCCAUCACUCCAGGAGGCUGAGGCAGGAGGACCACAAGUUUGAGCCCAGCCUGGGCAAUUUAACAACUUAGAAAGACCUGUGUAAAAAUACAAAAUAAAAAGAGGCUGGGUUGUGGCUCAACACGAAGGCCCUGUGUUCAAUCCACAGUAUCACAAAGAGUAAAAUUUUUCCUAAAGGACCCCGCC
This 762-nucleotide long non-coding RNA is filed under the name Chinchilla lanigera (long-tailed chinchilla). RNAcentral's name for it is "lncRNA (ENSCLAG00000027149.1)". Lineage: Eukaryota; Metazoa; Chordata; Mammalia; Rodentia; Chinchillidae. The record is from RNAcentral.